CCUAGGCAGUCAGAGGCGAUGAAGGACGUGCUAAUCUGCGAUAAGCGUCGGUAAGCUGAUAUGAAGCGUUAUAACCGACGAUUUCCGAAUGGGGAAACCCAGUGCAAUUCGUUGCACUAUCGUUAAGUGAAUACAUAGCUUAACGAAGCGAACCAGGGGAACUGAAACAUCUAAGUACCCUGAGGAAAAGAAAUCAACCGAGAUUCCCCUAGUAGCGGCGAGCGAACGGGGAACAGCCCAGAACCUUAAUCAGCGUAUGUGUCAGAGGAACGGUCUGGAAAGUCCGGCGAUACAGGGUGAUAGCCCCGUACUUGAAAAUGCAUAUGUUGUGAGUUCGAUGAGUAGGGCGGGACACGUGA
Molecule: ribosomal RNA, 359 nt
Filed under: Salmonella enterica subsp. enterica
Lineage: Bacteria; Pseudomonadati; Pseudomonadota; Gammaproteobacteria; Enterobacterales; Enterobacteriaceae
Description: partial 23S ribosomal RNA
Rfam family: Bacterial large subunit ribosomal RNA
Source: RNAcentral